Molecule: unclassified non-coding RNA, 292 nt
Filed under: Hevea brasiliensis (rubber tree)
Lineage: Eukaryota; Viridiplantae; Streptophyta; Magnoliopsida; Malpighiales; Euphorbiaceae
Source: RNAcentral
AAAAGAAAAAAGAAACUUCAUGCUAAAUUUAGUUCACAUCCACAAGCUAAAUUUUCACAAGAUGGAAGACAAAAACUAAACCAGUAGACUGAGCUGUUUCAAGUUAAGGCUCCACAAAGAUUAAGGUGGCUACAAUUCAAGAAUUGAAAUUGGAUAUGGCCCCAAACAGAUUGGACUGGCAGAACAGGAUUUAUGAAUCUAAGCCAAAAAGCUCAUAUGGAUUUUUAUGUAGAUUUUUACUAAUUUCAAUUCAUUUGCUUACCCCAUACAGCUUUUAUUUGAGCUAUCAAAU